ACGCUCGACACCUACGGGAGACAGCAGUGGGGAAUAUUGCACAAUGGAGGAAACUCUGAUGCAGCGACGCCGCGUGAGGGAAGAAGGUCUUCGGAUUGUAAACCUCUGUUGUCAGGGACGAUGAUGACGGUACCUGACGAGGAAGCCACGGCUAACUACGUGCCGANNCGCGAGUAUGNGCGGCGUGNGAGAG
This 193-nucleotide ribosomal RNA is filed under the name uncultured bacterium. RNAcentral describes it as "partial 16S ribosomal RNA". It matches the Rfam family "Bacterial small subunit ribosomal RNA", at positions 328 to 540 of the family's 1533-position model. The record is from RNAcentral.